Molecule: non-coding RNA, 75 nt
Organism: Heligmosomoides polygyrus
Lineage: Eukaryota; Metazoa; Nematoda; Chromadorea; Rhabditida; Heligmosomidae
Source: Rfam
GCGCCGGUGGUGUAAUAGCAUAGAGCAUUCCCGGCCGGUCAGAGGGAGGUGCGGGUUCGAGUCCCGCUUGGCGCU